Molecule: ribosomal RNA, 486 nt
Filed under: uncultured bacterium
Lineage: Bacteria
Description: partial 16S ribosomal RNA
Rfam family: Bacterial small subunit ribosomal RNA
Source: RNAcentral
GACGAACGCUGGCGGCGUGCUUAACACAUGCAAGUCGAACGCUGAAGACCUGGCUUUUGUUGGGUUGGAUGAGUGGCGAACGGGUGAGUAACACGUGAGUAACCUGCCCUCUUCUUUGGGAUAACGCCCGGAAACGGGUGCUAAUACUGGAUAUUCACUGAUCUUCGCAUGGGGGUUGGUGGAAAGGUUUGUUCUGGUGGGGGAUGGGCUCGCGGCCUAUCAGCUUGUUGGUGGGGUGAUGGCCUACCAAGGCUUUGACGGGUAGCCGGCCUGAGAGGGUGACCGGUCACAUUGGGACUGAGAUACGGCCCAGACUCCUACGGGAGGCAGCAGCGGGGAAUAUUGCACAAUGGGCGAAAGCCUGAUGCAGCGACGCCGCGUGAGGGAUGGAGGCCUUCGGGUUGUAAACCUCUUUCGCUCAUGGUCAAGCCGCAACUGUGGGUUGUGGUGAGGGUAGUGGGUAAAGAAGCGCCGGCUAACUACGUG